This 433-nucleotide ribosomal RNA is filed under the name uncultured bacterium. RNAcentral's name for it is "partial 16S ribosomal RNA". It matches the Rfam family "Bacterial small subunit ribosomal RNA", at positions 29 to 507 of the family's 1533-position model. The record is from RNAcentral.
AACGAACGCUGGCGGCAUGCCUAACACAUGCAAGUCGAACGAUCCCUUCGGGGAUAGUGGCGCACGGGUGCGUAACGCGUGGGAACCUGCCCUUAGGUUCGGAAUAACUCAGAGAAAUUUGAGCUAAUACCGGAUAAUGUCUUCGGACCAAAGAUUUAUCGCCUUUGGAUGGGCCCGCGUUGGAUUAGCUAGUUGGUGGGGUAAAGGCCUACCAAGGCGACGAUCCAUAGCUGGUCUGAGAGGAUGAUCAGCCACACUGGGACUGAGACACGGCCCAGACUCCUACGGGAGGCAGCAGUGGGGAAUAUUGCACAAUGGGCGAAAGCCUGAUCCAGCAAUGCCGCGUGAGUGAUGAAGGCCUUAGGGUUGUAAAGCUCUUUUACCCGGGAUGAUAAUGACAGUACCGGGAGAAUAAGCCCCGGCUAACUCCGUG